GAUAAGUAAUUAUCGAUAAGGAUAAAAAUCGAAUCGAUAAUUACUUAUUCCCUGCUCGAAAGGAUAGAGAAGCUGUUUCCAAUAUAUUCUUUCACUCAUUUGGAUACGAAGAUUGAAAAGUAAAGUGACGGGAAAAGAUGGUGGAUUGGGAGAAAGAGAGAAAAAAUGUAGUAUAUGAUCAUUUUGACAAUUGUUACAAAAAAAAAAAAA
RNAcentral lists this long non-coding RNA (210 nucleotides) under Nicotiana benthamiana. RNAcentral describes it as "long non-coding RNA (NBEN_LNC036252)". The record is from RNAcentral. Lineage: Eukaryota; Viridiplantae; Streptophyta; Magnoliopsida; Solanales; Solanaceae.